This is a long non-coding RNA of Orcinus orca (killer whale), 4917 nucleotides long. RefSeq lists it as uncharacterized. The record is from RefSeq and is a predicted model, not a curated record. The transcript is spliced from 3 exons. Lineage: Eukaryota; Metazoa; Chordata; Mammalia; Artiodactyla; Delphinidae.
AUAUAUAUAUAUAUAUAUAUAUUUUUUUUUUUUGGAUGUCGGGUUUCUGCUCACGGGCUUUCUCUAGUUGCAGCAAGCGGGGGCUACUCUUCAUUGUGGUGCACAGCCUUCUCACUGUGGUGGCUUCUCUUGUUGCAGAGUAUGGGCUCUAGGCGCAUGGGCUUCAGUAGUUGUGGCACGCGGGCUUCAGUAGUUGUGGCACACAGGCUUAGCUGCUUCGCGGUAUGUGGGAUCUUCCCAGACCAGGGCUCGAACCCAUGUCCCCUGCAUUGGCAGGCAGAUUCUUAAUCACUGCACCACCAGGGAAGUCUCCCGCCCCAGCUUCUUAUUUGAGAAGCUGGGGUUGAUUCUCUAGCAGGCCUUGAUCCCUACUAUCCUAUUGCUAAUUUUAAAAUACAUAAAUAGAUCUUGCUUUCAGCCUUCAUUAUGUGAGCAUACCAAGGGGGAGAAAUUAACUGAGAGCCUCUCCUGGUCUCCAGUGGAUGGAUGGAAAUUGAAACCCCUCUCCCCCGUUUUCCUUACCGCAUUAAAGAAGCACAUUGUGUUCUCUGAACCCGUCAGGGCUGCAGUGAGAAUGGCACCCUCUCCAGAGUCACCGUAACCCUGAAUCAAGUUGAUUCACAGGCCGUCUGGCUGUGAACCCCACAGUACUCUAUACUUAUGCUCAAAGAGUACUAAUUGCCUUGUUAACAGACCUCCUCUCAAGAGAAUGAAACUUAAGCAGAGGAAUAUCAGAGCAUGAUUUCCAGAGAAGUGAGCUGAUCCAGAAACUAAUAGCAUUUCCAGCAACCAAGUCGCCGAAGGCCCGCAGAGCAAAUAAAAGAGCAUUUUAAUGGUAUUGUCAAGAGGAUACGACUUGUCAAGGCAGAUUUGCAAACCGGAAAGGGGGCAGAGACUGCUCUUGUCUAGACAUCUGAUUAGCGAGAAACUGUAGGAUUAUGAGGAGUGUGGAUUUUUCUGGCUGCCGUGUCUGAGGCGGUCAGGCUUUCUGCACACAGGGCUGGAUGAGAGAAACCUUUGUCCCCAGUGGAAAACGCUGGCUGGUCUUCAUCCUCCCUUGGGCUCUAGCAGCCAGUUCGGGACCAAGAGACUGUACAGUAGGUCCCCUACCUACGAACCUUCAAGUUGUGAACUUUCAAAGAUGCGAACGUGUGUCCACAUGUCCAAUCACAUAAAUUAGUUCACGUGUCUGGUGUACCUGGUCACCUGCGUGCAUCCUCUACAAGUGGUUGUGCUUUUGUGUACUUUACAGUACUGUACAGAGUACUGUUAUUUGUGUGAAAAGUAUUAUAAACCUAUUGCAGUACAGUACUGUAUAGCUGAUUGUGUUAGUUGGGUACCCAGGCUAACUUUGCUGGACUUAGGAACAAAUUGGAUUCACGCACACACUCUCGGAUCGGAACUCGUUCAUAUGUAGGGGACUUACUUUGUUAGUUGAUUUUAACCUGCUGCCGCUCGGGGCACUGGGCACUUGCCUGGGAGGGUCUGGGGUUCGGAGACGAGAGAAUCACUGACGGGCACGUCACCUCUUCCUGCCCUUCCAUCGGCAGUCCCAGCUUGCUGUCUGAUCACGCUGCAGGCUGAUCCCCUGGACUUGGGGCCUCUGUUCUGCUUAAAUAACUGUCCAACCCCCUCACCCCAGGACACCAUGGAAACCACAGCACUUCCGGGUGGGAAUUAUGGGUUGUGGGCUCAGACAAAUAAUCCUCGCUUGGAUGGAAAUGAAGUCAGGUGAAUCGGGGGGUGAGUGUGUAAGGACCGCAGGGCCUUGGGUAAUGGUGGGACCCUGGAGGUGACAGGUGGGUUCCUAAAGGAAAGGGGCUGGGAAUCAGGAAACGUGAGGUUCUAGAACAGGUUCCUUACCUCCUCUAAAGGGAGGAAAUUAAUAUCAAUAUCACGAUUCCAGUCCCUGUGCCACCCGAGUGCUUUCUGCACAGCGCUGUGGGCCAUCCCUGCCCGCAGCCCAGGGCUGCCUGCUUGUUCAUGAAAAGUCACAGCCCAGCCCCGCAUCAGCAGCAGGGACUACAGCAAGUGCGAGAGACGGGGCUGAAAAUACAGUCGUUCCAUCAGUCUGAGUCCAGCUAGGCAAAGAAAAGCCACUGUGGAUUUCAAACAGGGAGUGCGUGCCGAGGAAUUUGUUACAGGGGUGAGACAGUCCUGAAUUGGCAACAAUAGGAAGCAGCUACCACCUGAAGGCUGGGGAGGUGUGGGGUGAAGGGAGAUGGGAGAACCAGAGCCGAGGUGGGAGCCCCCAGACAGGAGCGAAAACCAAAGCAGGCCUGCCUGGUGGGAGUUAGAAUCAUAGAGCAGCUACCACCCAGGCGGGGAGGGAAAGGGUAUAAAAGUAUCUUAGAGUUUCUCCCUGUGCCCUCGCCUCCGACCUUCUCCUGGCGUACGGUCUUCAGGGGUCUGGCAGGGAGAGUGGAACAAGGCAGCACAAGUUGGGGCAGAGGAAGGGGGUCAGAUAUUCUGUGAACCAGUCUCCUCACCUCCUGUGCUCUGCCCUCUGCAACCACCAGAGUGAAACGACAGAAUUAAAUAUUUGCGUAAUUAUUAGUUUAAUAUCUUUUUCACCUCCUCCACACCACCAGCACUGCAAACCCUGAGCUCCAUGAACGCAGGGACGGAGUCGGCCUUAUUCACUGCUGUAACACGGCACCCAGCAUGUGUGCCAAGCAACCAGUUCCACAGUAAUUCUCAGGACAACCCUGCAAGGUUUGUUCUGGCGGCCAUGUUGAGAGUAGACGAAGAGACCAAGAGUGGAAGCUGGGAGGCCAACCAGAGGCCACUGCAAUAAUCCAAGUGAGAGAAGAGAGCGGCUUGGACCAGGGCAGUAGCAGGGAGGGUGGUGAGAGUGGUCAGGUCCUGGAAAUAUUUUGAAAUUCGAACCAGUGGGAUUUUCUGAGAAUCUGAAUAUCAGGUUUGAGAGAGAGAAAGUCAAGGUUGGCUCCAAGGAUUUUGGCUUGAAAUCUUGAAAGAUGGUUGCCAUUAACUGACAUGCGGAAGCUGUGGGUGAGGCAUUUUCAUUUUCAUGUCCAAUGGGAGCUCCGUUUGGACAUGUUGGUGUGUAACGUCCACUGGACACUGGACAUCCAAGUGGAAGUGUUGAGUGACUUGGAUAUAAUUUUGGGAGUCAUGGGUGAAAAGAUGUCACUCAAGCUAUGAGAUCAUACAGGGAGUGGGUCGAGAUGCAAAAGAGAAGGGGUUCAGUAAUAUUUGUCAAACAAAGCACGCUGAGCAUGGGCCUCCCCACUGGACGUAGGGGUGUCUCCCUAAUGGCCUGGGCCAGAUCCACUUUUACAUUCCCCGAGCACUCACCUGUUGCAGGGAAUGUCACUGAUCUCCAGAAGCCCCCCCACCCUUGGUGUUUCAGAAUCAUAAAUACAGAGAUACUCAGAUUUAAACAAUCACAUCAAAAACCUACAUUUUCAAGAGAGAGAAAGUAGGGGGUGAUAAUAGGUUGUGUGAAUGAGUCCCCACAGACCUGCUAUCAGUCAAGCUUCACACACAGCCCUCUCGGGCAUUUCAAACAGGAUCCUGUCUGUAAAAAUAAGGCCCCAGCUUUUAUCAGUGCACCUGUUGUUCAAAGGGUCACCGGUCCCCAAGUGGAGAUAUGCAAAGGUCACCUGCUCACACCACCCCGUGGGAAUGUUACCUGCCAAGCUGCCCAUCCAGGCGCUCUGUGCCACGGAAGAGGAUGAGAGCAGAGCAGGGAGGGAGGAAGCAAAGCUUUCUCUGCUUCUGGGCCCUGUCCCCCAGCACCACUUGUGAGUCCAGCCUGUCACUGAAUUCUCUCUCUCUCCCAGUCCCAUGCAGAUAGAGGCAUGCCAUCACAGGAAGACACUAAAAGAGUUUGCCUUUUCAGAAAUUACUCUAGUUUGGAGGCCUUUUUUAAAGCACCUGUGCUGUUGUAGAAGGAACACUGGAGUGAGAGGCCCUCCAUCCUGGUUCUGCCAGGAACCAGCAGGCUGGCUUCGGGAGCAAGUUUUACCUACUUGUGCCUCAGUCUUCUCAUCUGUGAAAUGGGUAUCUGAGUGCCCCAUGAGGUCAUUCUGAGGGUUAAAGGAGUUCAAAUGGGUAAAGUACACAGAAGAACGUCUGUCACAAAUUAAGGUAUAUUUUAUUUCAUGUUGUGUUAGCAAUAAUAUAGCUCUUGGUUGCUGUUAUUAUUGUUGUUGUUGAAUUGACCCUGCCAAUUAGCUUUGUGAUCUUGGGCAAGUCGCCCCACUUCUCAAAGCCCUCAGGCUCCUGUCCUCGGAGGUGCUCUCACAGUAGUCCGUGAACAGCCCUCCCUUCCAGGCUCUGAGAGUGGGGAAAACUCCACAGCCGCACAUUUGAGAGGCCCGGUGACCGCUGAGGCCCUUACAGGAAGUGUGAUGGCACUGUCAGAAGGGGGGGUAUCCGCACAGGAGGUGAAGGGGCUGGGAGGUGGCAAGGCUGCCCUCGCUCCCCUUACUCUGUUUCCCUUUCCCACUGGAACACGGGUAUCUUCUCCAGUCCCCCCACUUCUCCUUUACACCCUGAGUCCCUGCAAGAGCUGUACAGAGUGCUCUGAACAGCCUAUCCUGGUGGUGUUCUUUGUCUACAAUUUCAAGAAAACAAUCACAUGUCAUCUGUUUAUUCCAGGAAACAGGUUCCGUAGUGACGAGAAGCCCCAAACUUCUGAGAAAGAGUCUCUGUUUACAACAUUUGUAGAGUCUUGCUUAUGUUUGCAUUUCCCCUACUAGUAAUAGUUUUGGCACUCCAUCUCCUGCUGCACGCAAGUGCACUACCUGAGCCCGGGUGCACCUUGCCAAGUUGGAAGGGAAUUGCUUAUAGGCAGCCCGUAGGAAUCGUUGGGUUCCUGAGGCUGUGCCAGCACGGGAAGAGGGAAGUAAAGGAAGAAAAAGUAAGAGAGCCUUGGGCUGGGAAUCAGGA